Molecule: ribosomal RNA, 404 nt
Filed under: Actinomycetes bacterium
Lineage: Bacteria; Bacillati; Actinomycetota; Actinomycetes
Description: Actinobacteria bacterium partial 16S ribosomal RNA
Rfam family: Bacterial small subunit ribosomal RNA
Source: RNAcentral
UGGGGAAUAUUGGACAAUGGGCGCAAGCCUGAUCCAGCCAUGCCGCGUGAGCGAUGAAGGCCCUAGGGUUGUAAAGCUCUUUCACCGGUGAAGAUAAUGACGGUAACCGGAGAAGAAGCCCCGGCUAACUUCGUGCCAGCAGCCGCGGUAAUACGAAGGGGGCUAGCGUUGUUCGGAUUUACUGGGCGUAAAGCGCACGUAGGCGGACUUUUAAGUCAGGGGUGAAAUCCCGGGGCUCAACCCCGGAACUGCCUUUGAUACUGGAAGUCUUGAGUAUGGUAGAGGUGAGUGGAAGUCCGGGUGUAGAGGUGAAAUUCGUAGAUAUUCGGAGGAACACCAGUGGCGAAGGCGGCUCACUGGACCAUUACUGACGCUGAGGUGCGAAAGCGUGGGGAGCAAACAGG